CUUGGUCAUUUAGAGGAAGUAAAAAGUCGUAACAAGGUUUCCGUAGGUGAACCUGCGGAAGGAUCAUUAUCGAAAUUAUUGGUGAGGGUUGUAGCUGGCCUUUCGAGGCAUGUGCACGCUCGAGCCCUUAAUCCACUUUACACCUGUGCACUUAAUGUAGGUCGCCCUUAAAAAAGGUGACCUAUGUCUUAUCAUCAACCCAUCGUAUGUCUCAUAGAAUGUAAUCGAUAUCCUCGCCCUGAAAAAGCGUUGAUAAACUUAUACAACUUUCAACAACGGAUCUCUUGGCUCUCGCAUCGAUGAAGAACGCAGCGAAAUGCGACAAGUAAUGUGAAUUGCAGAUUUUCAGUGAAUCAUCGAAUCUUUGAACGCACCUUGCGCUCCUUGGUAUUCCGAGGAGCAUGCCUGUUUGAGUGUCAUUAAAUUCUCAACUCCAAGGGUUUCACGACCUUUCGGAGAUUGGACUUGGAGGUGCUGGCCGCAUAUUGGUCGGCUCCUCUCAAAUGCAUCAGCGGAAUUCAACCUUUGGCUUCCGGAUGUCAGUGUGAUAAUCAUGUUGCGCUGUCGUUUGAUCCCUCAGAGUCCGCUUAUAAUGGUCUUCGGACAAAAUCAUCAUCAAAUUUGACCUCAAAUCAGGUAGGACUACCCGCUGAACUUAAGCAUAUCAAUAAGCGGAGAA
RNAcentral lists this ribosomal RNA (679 nucleotides) under uncultured fungus. Its description in RNAcentral is "eukaryotic LSU rRNA". The stretch from base 265 to 419 matches the Rfam family "5.8S ribosomal RNA". The record is from RNAcentral. Lineage: Eukaryota; Fungi.